Molecule: unclassified non-coding RNA, 381 nt
Filed under: uncultured Actinomycetes bacterium
Lineage: Bacteria; Bacillati; Actinomycetota; Actinomycetes
Description: uncultured actinobacterium contains 16S-23S intergenic spacer region
Source: RNAcentral
UCCUCGUUUAGACGAGGCAGUCUGUCCAGAGUGCUUCGAACUCUCGUUCGAGUGGCAACAGGACACAAGGGUUGCGCUCGUUGCGGGACUUAACCCAACACCUCACGGCACGAGCUGACGACAACCAUGCACCACCUGUAUACGGCCCCGAAGGACACCGCAUCUCUGCGGCUUUUCCGUAUAUUUCAAGCCCUGGUAAGGUUCUUCGCGUUGCGUCGAAUUAAGCCACAUGCUCCGCCGCUUGUGCGGGCCUCCGUCAAUUCCUUUGAGUUUUAGCCUUGCGGCCGUAGUCCCCAGGCGGGGUGCUUAAUGCGUUAGCUACGGCACGGAAAACAAUGAAGCUCCCCACACCUAGCGCCCAACGUUUACGGCGUGGACUAC